AGUCUUGGCGUCACGUGCAGGCCAACCAACAACUCUCUUUGGCACUUGGCUUGACCUGGUGUUUACCAUCCCAGUCUCCUGCGAUGGUGAUGCGCCGCCUUGUUUCCAGAACUUUGGCGUCGGCUCCUCGGCUACCUCUUAGGUCCAUGCUAUCAUGUCGAACCAACGUGUAUACUUUAGAAUUUAUUCCAAUAAGUUAUAACUUUUGUCACGACGUCUUCUCUUGAUGUAUGAGCAAGUUAAUCCUUGCAUUGUGCCACCUGCGGCUCUCCCCGGUGUGACCUGGUGGUUGUUGCCGCAGUCUGUUGCAAAGGUUCUGGGCCCCAACCGUAGCCUCUUGCGAGGUUUGAAGCCUUGGUUUGGUGUCCCAUGGCCUUGUCUGCGUGGGCCUUUUGUCGUGCAACAUCAGUGGCGUGUUGUAUGUCCGUGGCUACAACAACCCUUUGUGGUUGGUCCUAGAGUCGCGUGCACACAGACCAACAACACUCUUUGGCACUUGGCAAGACCUGGUGUUUACCAUCCCAGUCUCCUGCGAUGGUGAUGCGUCGCCUUGUUUCCAGAACUUUGGCGUCGGCUCCUCGGCUACCUCUUAGGUUAAUCCUUGCAUUGUGCCACCUGCGGCUCUCCUCGGUGUGACCUGGUGGUUGUUGCCGCAGUCUGUUGCAAAGGUUCUGGGCCCCAACCGUAGCCUCUUGCGAGGUUUGAAGCCUUGGUUUGGUGUCCCAUGGCCUUGUCUGCGUGGGCCUUUUGUCGUGCAACAUCAGUGGCGUGUUGUAUGUCCUUGGCUACAACAACCCUUUGUGGUUGGUCCUAGAGUCGCGUGCACACAGACCAACAGCACUCUUUGGCACUUGGCAUGACCUGGUGUUUACCAUCCCAGUCUCCUGCGAUGGUGAUGCACCGCCUUGUUUCCAGAACUUUGGCGUCGGCUCCUCGGCUACCUCUUAGGUUAAUCCUUGCAUUGUGCCACCUGCGGCUCUCCUCGGUGUGACCUGGUGGUUGUUGCCGCAGUCUGUUGCAAAGGUUCUGGGCCCCAACCGUAGCCUCUUGCGAGGUUUGAAGCCUUGGUUUGGUGUCCCAUGGCCUUGUCUGCGUGGGCCUUUUGUCGUGCAACAUCAGUGGCGUGUUGUAUGUCCUUGGCUACAACAACCCUUUGUGGUUGGUCUUGGCGUCGCGUGCAGGCCAACCAACAACUCUCUUUGGCACUUGGCUUGACCUGGUGUUUACCAUUCCAGUAUCCUGCAGCGGUGAUGCGCCGCCUUGUUUCGGCGUCGGAUCCUCGGCUACCUCUUACCCACAUCACUUGCAGGUAUGGAGUUUGAUGGUGGCAAAGCUAUGUAUGCCACCAGUUUGUCAGAGAUGAGAUGCUGUAGCGGCAUGAAGUUUGAUAAGUUGCUCAGGUUGAUGAUCCAUUGAGAAUGUUGAUGACACCCAGAAUUGCUGCAGCACUUGCGAGUGUGGAAUUUGAUGGUGGGAAAGUUAUGUUUGUCAGAGAUGAGAUGUUGUAGCGACAGGGAGUUUGUGAAGUUGCUCCGGUCGAUGAUCUUGUUGAUGACCCCCAAAACUGGCAAGGAAAUCUACCCUCAGGAGCCAAUGGUUUGAAGCACUAGACAACAUUUCCCAAAUUGCAAUGUGAUGAGUCGUUGUUUCUUGUCGGACUGGCAGGCUUCGUAGUUUGUUUGGAUAGAUAUGGACUCCUCGCCACUGCACCAAAGAGUUCUUCGUUGGCUGUGGUUCCAAUGUCAAAGGUUCUUGCUGCUGAAUUCUAAUUUUUGGUGACCAGGUUCUUACGACCAGAUCCUUGGGUCACCUGGCCUCCUGGUGAAGAUCUUCGUGUGGGUCCUCGAGAUGCCGAUGGUGGGCUGGGUCUUGCUUUAAAUCCUAAAGAAGGAUGAUCUUCUCUUCCUCUCAAACUGCAUUCAUAUGCCUGACAAUUUUAAUUCUCAGUUCACCAUGCAUGUUGUUCAACUGUGAACAUAACAUCACAGACUCACAUUGAUCAGUAAAGCUAUUUUACAACAAUGAAUUCACUCUUCCGUGUUGUUUUUACUUUUUGCCAUUCACUUUCUUGCUGAAAUGCUCUACUCUGUUCUGUUUGCAGCUUGUCUCGGAAGUUGAGAUCCACUGUUUACUUCAAUGGUUCAAUCCACAGCUGGAAAGACAUUGCAGAGCUGAACCUCAGCCUAACGAAGACCGGCCUGUUACCCGUGGAGUGAGUCCGGGAUGCCGUCGAAGACAUAUCAAAGCCCUAGGCCGGUAUCCCUGAGCACUGGAGUUGGACGGGUGUUUUGCCCUUUGUUUGCACCGUCAGCACAAGAUGAUCGUCGUCAUGUGCAAACCUCUAGUGUUGGGAUUGGUUGUAGCUUGUAUACGUAUGGUUUGGUGCCUUUUUUUGUUUUGAUUCAACAAAACAUGGACUAGUGCUUGUAUGUACCCACCCAAUCUUUUUUGUUUUGAUGAAUUUGUAAUGGCGCCAGAGAUGUAAGAUUUUGUGGAAAUUCAAAUGCUCGCUCAUAUGUA
Long non-coding RNA from Triticum dicoccoides, 2520 nucleotides. RefSeq lists it as uncharacterized. The record is from RefSeq and is a predicted model, not a curated record. NCBI's taxonomy places the organism in Eukaryota, Viridiplantae, Streptophyta, Magnoliopsida, Poales, Poaceae. The transcript has 10 exons.